UUUGUGGUGUAGUAGGUAUCACUACGGACUCUGAAUCCGUCGUCGCGAGUUCGAAUCUCGCUAA
This 64-nucleotide transfer RNA is filed under the name Cryptomonas paramaecium. RNAcentral describes it as "Cryptomonas paramecium tRNA". It matches the Rfam family "tRNA", at positions 5 to 66 of the family's 71-position model. From Rfam's summary of the family: Transfer RNA (tRNA) molecules are approximately 80 nucleotides in length. Their secondary structure includes four short double-helical elements and three loops (D, anti-codon, and T loops). The record is from RNAcentral. Lineage: Eukaryota; Cryptophyceae; Cryptomonadales; Cryptomonadaceae.